UACGUAGGGGGGCUAGCGUUGUCCGGAUUUAUUGGGCGUAAAGAGCGUGUAGGCGGCCAGGUAGGUCUGCUGUGAAAACUCGAGGCUCAACCUCGAGACGUCGGCGGAAACCAUCUGGCUAGAGUCCGGAAGAGGAGAGUGGAAUUCCUGGUGUAGCGGUGAAAUGCGCAGAUAUCAGGAAGAACACCCGUGGCGAAGGCGGCUCUCUGGGACGGUACUGACGCUGAGACGCGAAAGCGUGGGGAGCGAACAGG
Molecule: ribosomal RNA, 254 nt
Filed under: uncultured bacterium
Lineage: Bacteria
Description: partial 16S ribosomal RNA
Rfam family: Bacterial small subunit ribosomal RNA
Source: RNAcentral